Molecule: ribosomal RNA, 371 nt
Filed under: uncultured Glomeromycotina
Lineage: Eukaryota; Fungi; Glomeromycota
Description: SSU rRNA
Rfam family: Eukaryotic small subunit ribosomal RNA
Source: RNAcentral
AGCAGCCGCGGUAAUUCCAGCUCCAAUAGCGUAUAUUAAAGUUGCUGCAGUUAAAAAGCUCGUAGUUGAAUUUCGGGACCAUCAUGUCGGUCGUGCCUCGGUACGUACUGGCAUUGUUGGUUUCUCCCUUCUGACGAACCAUGAUGUCAUUUAUUUGGUGUUGUGGGGAAUCAGGACUGUUACUUUGAAAAAUUAGAGUGUUUAAAGCAGGCUCACGCUUGAAUACAUUAGCAUGGAAUAAUGAAAUAGGACGUUUGAUUCUAUUUUGUUGGUUUCUAGGAUCGACGUAAUGAUUAAUAGGGAUAGUUGGGGGCAUUAGUAUUCAAUUGUCAGAGGUUGAAAUUCUUGGAUUUAUUGAAGACUAACUACUG